GCUAUUUCUUGGGCCGCUCCUGCGGCAGAUGGAGGUUCCCAGGCUAGGGGUUGAAUCAGAGCUGCAGCCACCAGCCAGAGCCACAGCAACGCGGGAUCUGAGCCGCGUCUGCAACCUACACCACAGCUCACGGCAAUGCCGGAUCCUUAACCCACUGAGCAAGGGCAGGGACCAAACCCGCAACCUCGUGGUUCCUAGUCGUUAACCACUGCGCCACGACGGGAACUCCCAAGACUGUUGUCUUUAUGGGGAGUCGGCCAUGUGAAGACAAAGAAAUAGAGAAGAUGCCAUAUGAAGAUGGAAACGGAGACUAGACUGAGACCACCACAAGCCAACGAACACCAAGGAUGGCCAGCCGUCACCAGAAGCUGGGGGAGAAGCUGGGUACAGACCCUUCCUCAUGCCCUUGGAAGGAACCAACCCUUCUGACACCUUGAUCUUGGACUUCUGGCCUCCAUUACUGGGAGGGAAGACAUUUUUGUGGUUUUAAGCUACCCAGCUUGUAGGACUUUGUCAUAGCAGCCCUGAGAAACCAACAUGAGGGACUUCGAGAGUUACAGAAAAAAAACAACCACUCGUGUCUGAAUAUGAGAUGUGGGUCCCCUCCCAGAGCAAGCACCGAGCAUAGUCUGAUGGCUUCAGAUCUGCCACGGAAGACAGCAAGGCAGUGGUUAGCUUCAAGUCCCCAGCUGUGGAGGACAGAAUCCAGGGGGAGGGAAGGAGGCGCUCAGCGGGCCGUCCAGAGUUGUGGAAACCCAAGAGUGAGUGCCAAAUACAGUGAGUAACCUCUGUGGCAAUCAGAUGACUCAGCUUCUCCAGAUUGGAAAAGCAUAUGAGUAUGCUGAUCCCCCAAAGACUUUGGGGGGCUCAGUUCUGCACUUUGUGUGUAAUUGGCAGGCCUGCACCCAGAGACACAGCUGACCUUUUCAAGCUGAAUGUCUGGUUUUCUUAAAUCAACAUGUCUUGGUUUCAUAGACCAUAAAACCCCCAAUUUGGGAUGCAGGCCAGGUUGGAUAAGGCAGCUCUGAUGGUCUCCCAGGCUUCCCUUGGAAAUCCAGUGGAACGCAGGGGGACGUCCCUUUAGGAUGUCCCUCCAACCUGAAGUGGAAGCAAGCAGCAGGACUCUGUCCCGGCUAGAACCUCCGAGGAGGAGAUAACCAGGCGAUACACUUGGGAAGUCCGUGAAAAUGAUUUAUUUGAGCCUGAACUGGGAUUAUACUGCAGUGACUAAAAAGCAGUGUCCAAGGAAAACAUAAGAUGAGGUCGACUCAUGCUCAAUAAAAUGCAGCUCAAAGUGAUGUUUAGUGCCCAUGCUCUGUACAUCUGGCCUUUGGAGCCCAGCUGCCCUGAUAAAGAAUGAACACAAUCACAACUAAAUGUCCUGAGGACUGGUGACGUGCCAAACAUGCACUCAGUGCUUCCACUGGCCUUAACGUAUUUAAUCCUUCAACAAAUCUAUGACGUGCAGGUCAUUGUCCUCAUUUACAGAUGGAGAAAUGGAGGCUCAGAGAGGUUAAGGAACUCGUCCAAGGUCACACUGGGCUGAAUCAGGGAGACUAACUGGGGGAGUCCUGGGAUCAUCCAGGUGAGAGAUGCUGGCAGUGACGAAGGUGGAUGGUGAGAAGAGGUCAGUUCCUAGAUACAUUGGCAGAUACAUGGUUUGGCUGUGGGGUGUGAGAGACAGGUGUGGAGCAUGGCCCCAAGGUCUCCCAUACCUGGAAGAAUGGAGCUGCCAUUUAUGGAGGGGGAGACUGUGGGAGGAUCGGGAUUUGGAGGGUGAAGGGCAGACAAGAGCAGUUUAGCUUUGGAGAUGUUGGGUGGAGAAGCUUUCACUGCCUGGUGGGGGAGGGGGAUACUGUGGUUGGAUGUAUAAGAAUGGACAGAGUUCAAGGAGCGCCCAGACAUGGAGAGGUCCACUUGGGACUCAGCACAGAUAGAGGAUUGAAAGCCAUGGGAUUGGGUGAGAGACCCUAGGGAGUGAGUGUAGACAGGAGAGAGCAGGUGCCUGAUGACUGAUUCCAGGAACCCUCCACCAUCAGAGGUGGCAUGAAAGGAGGAGCCAGCUGUGGGCUGGGGGAGCGGCCAGGAGGGAGGAUGCCCUCCCCUGCCCCCUCGAGGGAGAGUGGAAUCAGAGCAGAGCUUCAGGAUGGAGGGAGUGACCCACUGUGUCAAGUCAUCAGGUAAGUCUUGUCAUCUGAACACUGAGAAGUGGUGGUCAGAUUUCGUGACAUCAGGGACAUUGACCAGCUCGGUUUUGGCAGAAUGAUAGGAGUGGGUUCAAGAGAGAGCUGGUUGUGAUGGUGAUGAUGGCUGUACAACUCUAAAUAUAGUAAAAUUCACUGAAUUUUAAAAAGAGGGAGAGAGAGUCGGGAUGGGAUGCAGCAGAUAAUGAACCCAGAAAAUUCAUUUAAAGACUUGGACCAUUGAGGAAAAAGAGGCAACAGUUGUAGGAUGGGGGGGGUCUUCUUCUAUUUUUGUAUUUUCUAGGGCCACAUCUGCAGCAUAUGGAGGUUCCCAGGCUAGGGGUCUAAUCAGAGCCAUAGCCACCUGCCUACGCCACAGCCACAGCAACGCAGGAUCCGAAACCCACAGAGCAAGGCCAGGGAUCAAACCUGCAACCUCAUGGUUCCUAGUUGGAUUUGUUAACCCCUGAGCCAUGAUGGGAACUCCAAGGAUGGGGGUUCUUAAUCUGUGGUCCAGGGCCCAUACAAUUUAGGGUACCAGUCCACCUGGAUGGGAGAAAAAGCUGCUUGAUUUAUUUCAUCAGCCUCUCCCGAAAAUGAGCAUGUCCCGCUGUUAGGAAGAGAGUAGCCCCUGCAGCGAUGUGACCAGUGCCAGUGACUUGGUUACCAAAAGGAAUCGCUCUUGGUUUGCACUGCUUUACAGGUGUGGCAGAUACCUGGAAAGGUCAUUUGCCAUCACUGCUACUUCAGAACUGGAGUAGUUCUGAGACCCCUGCUAGGUCUGCUCAGGUAACACAUUGAUGGAGAAGCACAUAAAUGACUAUGAACAAAAUGGCUUUGAAAUAUUUCGAUAACUGUAUCAAUUUAAUUGGCAUCCUUUACAGCCCAGUAUAUUAUUAUUACUAUUUUGCUUUUUAGGGCCACACCCAUGGCAUAUGGACAUUCCCAGAGCUCCAGCUACCAGCCUGCACCACAGCCACAGCAAUGCCAGAUUCAAGCCUCAACCGCGACCUACACCACAGCUCACGGCAAUGCGAGAUCCCUAACCCACAGAGUGAGGCCAUGGAUUGAACCCACAUCCUCAUGGAUACUAGUCAGAUUCAUUUCCCCUGCGCCACAAGAGCUCCCAUCCUGUAUAUUGUUACACACUUAAAAAUAUUCUUUGAUACAACAUCGUAAGUCCACUCUACUCCAAUAAACUUAAAUUUUAAGAAAGUACCAUUUAGAGAAUAGGCUUCACUAGCUGGCCGACGGGAUUCAAGGCCAAACAAACCAUGUGUCCAGCAAACAUCAGCAGCCUCAACAUCACAAACCACAAACAAAACAGUUAAGGCCCCUCUGCCAAUGGGAUGUGUGUUCCAGAGAGGGUUUCCGUGUUGUUUUGUUGUUGAUCUGAGGAGGAGAGAAACUGAAGCAGGGCUGCCUGCCUUUGGAAAUGAUCCAGUAAGAAGGCAGACGUUAGUGACGUGGGGGGGAUGUCCUUGCACAGAGGACAGGGGGGACCCUGCCCCUUGCCUGGAGAGCCCGGCUCAGACCAGGAGGGAGCCUGGGACAGACGGCCGUGGGCACAGGCUCCCCUGUCCCAGUUUCCUCGGGGAAGGUGGAAGCGGUGUGCUAUGCUGAGAAGGAAGGAGGGGGACACGGUAUUGAAGAUUUGCGUGGAGAGAGAAGGGGCACCCUGGUCCCCUCGGGGAAUGGGAGGGCGGUGGUCUAAGACAAGGUCAGCAGCAGGUGCCCUUGUGAAGUGAGGGGUCGUGGAGGUUCAGUGACCAUCAGUCACCGGGCAGCCUUCUCCAGCUCAGUCAGCAGGACCAUGCAGGCCCCUGCGUGGGCAAAGGGCUGGACUCGACUCGGUGGGAUUUUUCUAGGAGAAAUGAUGGAGAGAGGGGAGGGGUGAUGGGUGUGUACACGGAGGAGUACGGGUAGUGGUGGAUGAUGGGUGGGGCGGGGGGGGGGGGUGGGCUCAGGAGGACGGGAGAUGGUGGCCGGAGACUGGGACACGGUCACUGCGAUCAUGCUGGGCAAUGGCAUGUGCUAAAGAAAAGGUGGGGCCCCCAGGGUGGGUGGAGGAAGGGCCGGGGAGGGAGGAAUGGUGGGAAGGAACCACCACGGAGUACGUAGAACAGUUUGUGAUCUGGCCGUGUCACCCUUGUUUGACAAGUUCCAUCUCCCUGAUUCUCAUUUUCUGCCCGUGGAGGUGAGAGAGAGAAACAGAGCAGGAAAGAGGAACAGAAGCUGCACGUGUGUGUGAAGUACCCUCGUGCUCGUGGCCAGGCUGAUCUCGGCGUGGCUCUCAGGUCUGCCCUUUGCAUCUUUCAUCCACAGGAAUCAUAUUUGCAUGGAGCCGGGAAAUGUACACACUGCAGGCUGGUAUGUGAGACCUCGGGUCCCUCGACCAAUAGAUUUCGGGGCAGGUCUCUGUGCGAAGGGAAUUUCCGGGGGCAGUGGGUGUGCUCUGCUCUGGUCCCACCCUCCUGCCACCCCCCCGUGCCUCCCGACUUCCCAGUUCUGUAUAUUCCAGCCACGGAACCUGAGCUCAGCGGCUCCCCACCCUUCCGAUGGGUCAGCAUCCCUUAGAGAGCUUUUAAAAGACCCCGACACCUCAGACACUCCAGAGCGCAUGAUUCAUCGACUGGGGUGGGGUCUGCACAGGGAAACUUUUUAGCCCUGCCCCCUCCCCCCUAACCCACUGAAUGAGGCCAGGGGUCAAACCUGCAUCCUCAGGGACACUGUGUCUAGUUCAUAAGCCACUGAGCCACAAUGGACCACUGAGGACCACUGUCUUCAUUCAUGUGACUUGGAAAGGUCCUAUCAGGAGCUAUAAAAGAGCUUGAAACUGCAUAGCCAAGAGUCCCAGUACAAAUGUCUGUUCUGCUUGCUGGCUCUGCUGGUUGACUCUGGGCUUCUUCUGGGGUCUCCCACAAUGGGGACAGUUGUGCUUGUCGCUGUCCCCCAGUGUUAUCUGAUAUACCCACAAGCCUUCGUGCUCACAUGGCCUCUGCAUUAGAACCACCCUCCACCCACGAGUGCAGCCGGUCCUGAGUCCCACACCCUCGCCACCCAUCCUUGACCCUGUACCUUCGCCUGCCCCGCAUUCCUUAACCAGCCACGCAUCUGGAAAGAGGCAGUUUCCUAUUCACCCCUCCGCCGUCUGGCUCCUGCCUUCCCAGCACCCCACCCCCUCACGCCACCCCCUCUUAUCACCCAGGUCCUCUUUCUGGGACCCCAGCCCCUUACAGGCACUCAGCCUACCUCAUGUAUUAAUGCUGGCCAAGAAGUGUCCCCCCCCAGGGCAUUUAUAUUUUCCUGGAUGGCCCUUGAAAACAAAACUCUUCUUGGCCCCCAAGAAUGAUACUCGCAGCGGUAAGGACAUGGCGGGGUCAGUCCUGGGUGGAGGCUAGUGCUACUUCGAUGUGUGUUUUACAAACAUGUACAAAGUUUAGACUGAAUUGGCUCAGGUCUGAGAUGUCAGAAGUCCUACUAAGAGAAUGAUGAAUGCAGAUGAAACCGUGCAAAAUGAAAAUGUAGGCCCCUUGUUCAACACUUAUGAAUAAUUUCAGGAUGGCAA
Molecule: long non-coding RNA, 5751 nt
Filed under: Sus scrofa (pig)
Lineage: Eukaryota; Metazoa; Chordata; Mammalia; Artiodactyla; Suidae
Description: lncRNA (ENSSSCG00005002312.1)
Source: RNAcentral